Molecule: antisense RNA, 69 nt
Filed under: Mycobacterium shigaense
Lineage: Bacteria; Bacillati; Actinomycetota; Actinomycetes; Mycobacteriales; Mycobacteriaceae
Description: ASpks TB sRNA
Rfam family: ASpks TB sRNA
Source: RNAcentral
CUUGAUCGACCCCAGCCACAGCGGCUCGGGCCGGUCCUGCCCGUACGUCGCCAGCAGCGCCUGGGCCUC